UGGAGGGGGGGGGGGUGGGAAUCUGCUGCGGCCACCAUUCAGGUGGAUUCCAGCAUGGCUUCGGCCUCCUCCGGACACGGAGCGAGCUUGUUGCGUUUUCUGCGGCUGGUCGGGCAGCUCAAGAGAGUCCCACGGACGGGCUGGGUGUACAGGAAUGUGGAAAAACCAGAGAGUGUGUCAGAUCACAUGUACCGGAUGGCAGUAAUGGCUAUGGUGACCAGAGAUGACCACCUUAACAAGGAUCGAUGUAUACGCCUAGCCCUGGUUCACGAUAUGGCAGAAUGCAUCGUUGGGGACAUAGCACCAGCAGAUAACAUCCCCAAAGAAGAAAAACAUAGGCGAGAAAAGGAGGCUAUGAAGCAGAUCACCCAGCUGCUGCCAGAGGACCUCAGGAAGGAGCUCUAUGAACUCUGGGAAGAAUAUGAGACCCAAUCUAGUGCAGAGGCCAGAUUCGUGAAGCAGCUGGACCAGUGUGAAAUGAUCCUUCAGGCAUCAGAAUAUGAAGACAUGGAGAAUAAACCUGGGAGGCUUCAAGACUUCUAUGAUUCCACAGCAGGAAAAUUCAGUCACCCUGAGAUAGUCCAGCUUGUUUCUGAACUGGAGGCAGAGAGAAAUGCCAACAUAGCCUCGGCCUCUGCGGAGCCAGGCUCCUGAGUGCACCUCGCGACUCUGCUGCCCUAUUUUCUUCUCUGCUUCAUGGGAACGUGUUUUUCUGCUGUGGCUCUGAAGAUUUCCUAAGAUGAGAAUCUAUCUUCCGUUGUCCGGACUUGAGCAACAGUGUGAUAUAACCCCGGUCCUAAAAGAAGCCACCAAACUGGAAGUGGUCAGGAAUAUGCCAUGGGCGAAGGCUCGAGAGGAGAAUGCUUGUUUUUUGUAUACUCUGUCGAAAACUGUGGAAAAGAUGGCCAUCCAUUGCAAGCCUCCCUGGUAAUUCAGCAUGAGCAAUGAGCCUUCUACUGGAAAUGUCAUCUUCCAAUGGAAGGAGGCCUUUGAGGCUGGUGUGGAACAUUCUAAGUAGCGUUUCUCUGGAAACUCUGCAGUAUCCAUGGAUACGCUGUCUGCAGGAAGCAAGAUACAUGAUUUCUGCAAAAGCAACCAUGUGUAUGAUAUCGACUGAGUUGAAAGGUAAAGAAUGUGAAAAUGUUAUUUUUUAAGGUCUUAUUAGUAAGAAAAAAGUCUACCUAUUAGUAUUGUGGGGUCUUUUCUGUUGGUUUGGAAAUUUUCACAAAAUAACUCAAACACAGUUCAAGAAUAUGUGAGCAGAGCCUUUUCCAUGGGAAAGCUUUUCUGGGCUUUGAUUUGCUGUGUUGUGCCCACUGCGAUUUCUCAUGAUGUCAGGGCAGUCUGGAGGCUGUGGAAGCCUCUGCUGACUCAGGCCUUACUCUUUUUAUAUCAUUACCUCAGUUUAACAUUUUCCUGCCAAGAGGCAAUUCACAAUGAGAACUCACCUAACCUUCAUUUUGGAGAAAAAGAAAACAAUGGGACUGUGACUAAAAUCUUAAUAAAAACCACACUGGAGCUCAGUAAGGAAAGAUAACUCUUUAAUCCAUCAGCAAUGUCUACCAAUAUUGGAACAUUUUUGCUUUUCCUUGGAGGAUUCUUGCUGCCUGCCCAGACUGGUCUUCUACCAAGUCCUACAAUUAUGAUUCAGAGUAAAUAAUUAUUCUUGGGUUGAAUUCAAGAAAAAAAAUCAUUUUGGUCACUGUUUUCCCUGUGCCUUGCAUUUCUCCAGCUGUGACAUUAUUCUCUGUGCCCUUGUGUUUGUGCUCUGGGUGAGUGACUGCCCCUGUGGAUUAUGAGAGAUGACCUUGGGACUCAGGAUUUUCGUGUAUGUCGUCUACAGUUUCAAGGUGGGGAGCAGUGAUCUUGAGGGGAGACUUGCUGCUGGUGGUGGUAUGACGAGUGUGUCCAGGUUCAAGGCUGGGAACCUGGGUCGGAUACAGUAUGAGUGUCCAGGUUCAAAUCACAGUGACUUGUUUUAGUUAAUAGGUCUAUUUGGUAUAUUUUACAAAUGUGUCAUAGAUUAUAUCCCUGCUACCAAACAGCCAACCGGUUUCUGUUGUGAAGAAAAAAAGUUUACAACGUUAAAGGAAAAGGUGGUCACAGGGAGCUGGGUGUCUUUUCGUCCAGGUGAACAAUGUGUAAAUUGGAAAUUCGUCCUAACCCACCUUCUCCUGUGUUGGGAGCAGUGAGACCCCAGAUCCUGAAUUUCUUGUAAUCCCCUGAUCUGAGUGCCCACAGCUGUUCUGAGCACAAGAACAGGAGUUCCUGAUUGCAGGAGAGUGGUUUCCGGUGGGUUUGGCUUGGACGUGUCUAUCUCUGUAUAAUCUGCCCCUGAACACAAUAAAGGGGGCAUUCUUGGGGAAUUCAAGGAUGACCCGUGUCUCUGUC
Molecule: RNA transcript, 2391 nt
Organism: Arvicola amphibius (Eurasian water vole)
Lineage: Eukaryota; Metazoa; Chordata; Mammalia; Rodentia; Cricetidae
Gene: Hddc2
Gene name: HD domain containing 2
Exons: 7
Source: RefSeq, a predicted model, not a curated record